AUUGAACGCUGGCGGCAGGCCUAACACAUGCAAGUCGAGCGGAUGAAGGGAGCUUGCUCCUGGAUUCAGCGGCGGACGGGUGAGUAAUGCCUAGGAAUCUGCCUGGUAGUGGGGGAUAACGUCCGGAAACGGGCGCUAAUACCGCAUACGUCCUGAGGGAGAAAGAGGGGGAUCUUCGGACCUCACGCUAUCAGAUGAGCCUAGGUCGGAUUAGCUAGUUGGUGGGGUAAAGGCCUACCAAGGCGACGAUCCGUAACUGGUCUGAGAGGAUGAUCAGUCACACUGGAACUGAGACACGGUCCAGACUCCUACGGGAGGCAGCAGUGGGGAAUAUUGGACAAUGGGCGAAAGCCUGAUCCAGCCAUGCCGCGUGUGUGAAGAAGGUCUUCGGAUUGUAAAGCACUUUAAGUUGGGAGGAAGGGCAGUAAGUUAAUACCUUGCUGUUUUGACGUUACCAACAGAAUAAGCACCGGCUAACUUCGU
Molecule: ribosomal RNA, 483 nt
Filed under: uncultured bacterium
Lineage: Bacteria
Description: partial 16S ribosomal RNA
Rfam family: Bacterial small subunit ribosomal RNA
Source: RNAcentral